GAAAUGCGAUAAGUAAUGUGAAUUGCAGAAUUCAGUGAAUCAUCGAAUCUUUGAACGCAUAUUGCGCCCCUUGGUAUUCCGAGGGGCAUGCCUUUUCGAGCGUCAUUACAACCGUCAAGCUCUGCUUGGUAUUGGGCCUCUGUCCCCACGCGGGCGGGCCUCAAACUUAUCAGCGGCCGAGAGAACGGCAUUCUAGCGUAGUAGAAAUUAACUCGCCAGGGACCGGCCUCAGGUAGCUGUCAAACCCGCGCCUUUGGGUGCAUCUUAGGUUGACCUCGGAUAAGGUAGGGAUACCCGCUGAACUUAA
Molecule: unclassified non-coding RNA, 307 nt
Filed under: uncultured Dothideomycetes
Lineage: Eukaryota; Fungi; Ascomycota; Dothideomycetes
Description: sequence contains ITS1
Rfam family: 5.8S ribosomal RNA (bases 1-105)
Source: RNAcentral